GUCUACGGCCAUACCAUCCGAACGCGCCCGAUCUCGUCUGAUCUCGGAAGAAGGACAGAGAUUUGUGUGUGUGUGUGUUAUUUUUUAGUUUCAAAAAAAUGAUAGUAUAUU
Molecule: ribosomal RNA, 111 nt
Filed under: Mus musculus (house mouse)
Lineage: Eukaryota; Metazoa; Chordata; Mammalia; Rodentia; Muridae
Description: predicted gene, 55485 (ENSMUSG00002076373.1)
Source: RNAcentral